This 429-nucleotide ribosomal RNA is filed under the name uncultured bacterium. RNAcentral describes it as "bacterial SSU rRNA". It matches the Rfam family "Bacterial small subunit ribosomal RNA", at positions 355 to 775 of the family's 1533-position model. The record is from RNAcentral.
UGGGGAAUUGUUCGCAAUGGGCGAAAGCCUGACGACGCAACGCCGCGUGGAGGAUGAAGACCUUCGGGUCGUAAACUCCUUUCGACCGAGAUGAAUACUCAUUGACCCAAUACGUCGAUGAGCUGACAGUAUCGAGGGAAGCAGCCCCGGCUAACUCUGUGCCAGCAGCCGCGGUAAUACAGGGGGGGCAAGCGUUGUUCGGAAUUACUGGGCGUAAAGGGUUCGUAGGUGGCCAACUAAGCCAGACGUGAAAUCCCUCAGCUUAACUGGGGAACUGCGUCUGGGACUGGAUGGCUUGAGUGCAGGAGAGGAACGCGGAAUUCCAGGUGUAGCGGUGAAAUGCGUAGAUAUCUGGAGGAACACCGGUGGCGAAGGCGGCGUUCUGGACUGCAACUGACACUGAGGAACGAAAGCCAGGGGAGCAAACGG